CCAAACUUCAUAUUCAUCUCCUCAUCAGCAGUAAUGUCUUCUGUGGCAAUGUGCAGUAAGAGCUUAGCAUUUGGAUGGUUACGUGCAAUUUUCUUCAGCUCAAUGUCACUGUCACAAGUCAUGAUGUUUAUUCCAGCUUUUGCUGCAUACUUUAUCUGAGAAGCUUGCUUGCAAGGAUUUGUAUAUAUAAUGUUUUCAGGAGAAAUGCCCAGGCCUUGCACCAAUGCCAUUUCAGAUUUACUGGAACAUGCAAAUCCAAUCCCAAGGGUUCCCAGGAUUUCAAGGACACCUGGAGUAGAAUUGCAUCUUACAGUAUAAAAUGGUUUUAUUGGUGCCAUCACAUUCUGCCAUUGUAUGUUUUUCUUUACAAGUUUUCCAAGAUCACCAACAUAAAAUGCUCUUUUUCCAGUAUGAGUAUGUUCAUAAAUACAGUUGUCAAUAACAUCUGCAAGUGUUGCUCCUUCAUCCAACA
This 472-nucleotide long non-coding RNA is filed under the name Gallus gallus (chicken). Lineage: Eukaryota; Metazoa; Chordata; Aves; Galliformes; Phasianidae. The record is from RNAcentral.